This 140-nucleotide ribosomal RNA is filed under the name uncultured bacterium. Its description in RNAcentral is "partial 16S ribosomal RNA". It matches the Rfam family "Bacterial small subunit ribosomal RNA", at positions 355 to 509 of the family's 1533-position model. The record is from RNAcentral.
UGGGGAAUAUUGCACAAUGGGGGAAACCCUGAUGCAGCAACGCCGCGUGAAGGAAGACGGUUUUCGGAUUGUAAACUUCUAUCAAUAGGGAAGAAAGAAAUGACGGUACCUAAAUAAGAAGCCCCGGCUAACUACGUGCC